RNAcentral lists this ribosomal RNA (513 nucleotides) under uncultured bacterium. RNAcentral describes it as "bacterial SSU rRNA". It matches the Rfam family "Bacterial small subunit ribosomal RNA", at positions 48 to 507 of the family's 1533-position model. The record is from RNAcentral.
UAACUACAAUGCAAGUCGUAACGGGAACCGUUUUUAGGUAAGGUAAGACCGUUACGGGUGGAAAGUUAGGUAAGGUAAGUGGCGGACGGGUGGAGUAACGCGUAGAUAAUACUACCUUAAAGACUAGGGACAACAGCUGGAACGACUGCUAAUACCGGAUACGCUGCACAUAGGGCAUCCUAGGUGCAGGAAAGAGGCCUCUUAACAAUGCUCCUGCUUUUAGAUGAGUCUGCGUCUGAUUAGCUAGAUGGUGGGGUAACGGCUUACCAUGGCGACGAUCAGUAGUCGGCCUGAGAGGGUGACCGGCCACAUUGGGACUGAGACACGGCCCAAACUCCUACGGGAGGCAGCAGUGGGGAAUCUUCCGCAAUGGGCGAAAGCCUGACGGAGCAACGCCGCGUGAUCGAAUGAAGGCCUUCGGGUUGUAAAGAUCUGUUGACAGGGACGAAUAAGCAAUGCGAAUAGUUUUGUGUAUGACGGUACCUGUUUUAGAAAGCUCCGGCUAACUACGUG